Molecule: ribosomal RNA, 118 nt
Filed under: Neotoma lepida (desert woodrat)
Lineage: Eukaryota; Metazoa; Chordata; Mammalia; Rodentia; Cricetidae
Source: RNAcentral
UGUUAAGGCCUCCACUCUGAAUGUGCUCCAUCUCCUCUGAUCCUGGAAGCCAAGCAGAAGUGGGCCCUGGUUAGUAUCUGGAUGGGGGACUGCUUGGAAAUACAUGACGCUUUAGGCU